RNAcentral lists this ribosomal RNA (253 nucleotides) under uncultured bacterium. RNAcentral's name for it is "partial 16S ribosomal RNA". It matches the Rfam family "Bacterial small subunit ribosomal RNA", at positions 524 to 776 of the family's 1533-position model. The record is from RNAcentral.
UACGUAGGGUGCGAGCGUUAAUCGGAAUUACUGGGCGUAAAGCGAGCGCAGGCGGUUUUGUAAGCCAGAUGUGAAAUCCCCGGGCUUAACCUGGGAAUGGCAUUUGGGACUGCAAGGCUUGAGUGCGGCAGAGGAGACUGGAAUUCCUGGUGUAGCAGUGAAAUGCGUAGAUAUCAGGAGGAACACCGAUGGCGAAGGCAGGUCUCUGGGCUGACACUGACGCUCAUGCACGAAAGCGUGGGGAGCAAACAGG